RNAcentral lists this transfer RNA (72 nucleotides) under Camelus bactrianus (Bactrian camel). It matches the Rfam family "tRNA". Rfam says of the family: Transfer RNA (tRNA) molecules are approximately 80 nucleotides in length. Their secondary structure includes four short double-helical elements and three loops (D, anti-codon, and T loops). Further hydrogen bonds mediate the characteristic L-shaped molecular structure. tRNAs have two regions of fundamental functional importance: the anti-codon, which is responsible for specific mRNA codon recognition, and the 3' end, to which the tRNAs corresponding amino acid is attached (by aminoacyl-tRNA synthetases). tRNAs cope with the degeneracy of the genetic code in two manners: having more than one tRNA (with a specific anti-codon) for a particular amino acid; and 'wobble' base-pairing, i.e. permitting non-standard base-pairing at the 3rd anti-codon position. The record is from Rfam by way of RNAcentral. Lineage: Eukaryota; Metazoa; Chordata; Mammalia; Artiodactyla; Camelidae. RNAcentral also lists the same sequence under 3 other names.
GAGGAUAUAGCUCAGUGGUAGAGUGUGUGCUUAGCAUGCACAAGGUCCUGGGUUCAAUCCCCAGUACCUUCA